Molecule: ribosomal RNA, 949 nt
Filed under: uncultured archaeon
Lineage: Archaea
Description: bacterial SSU rRNA
Rfam family: Archaeal small subunit ribosomal RNA (bases 1-831)
Source: RNAcentral
ACUGCUCAGUAACACGUAGUCAACGUGCCCAGUGGAUAACCUCGGGAAACUGAGGAUAAACCGCGAUAAGUCACUACUUCUGGAAUGGGUAAUGACUAAAAUCUACAUGGCCCCUGGAUUGGACUGCGGCCGAUCAGGCUGUUGGUGAGGUAAUGGCCCACCAAACCUGUAACCGGUACGGGCUCUGAGAGGAGGAGCCCGGAGAUGGGCACUGAGACAAGGGCCCAGGCCCUAUGGGGCGCAGCAGGCGCGAAACCUCUGCAAUAGGCGAAAGCCUGACAGGGUUACUCUGAGUGAUUUCCGUUAAGGAGAUCUUUUGGCACCUCUAAAAAUGGUGCAGAAUAAGGGGUGGGCAAGUCUGGUGUCAGCCGCCGCGGUAAUACCAGCACCCCGAGUGGUCGGGACGUUUAUUGGGCCUAAAGCAUCCGUAGCCGGUUCUACAAGUCUUCCGUUAAAUCCACCUGCUUAACAGAUGGGCUGCGGAAGAUACUAUAGAGCUAGGAGGCGGGAGAGGCAAGCGGUACUCGAUGGGUAGGGGUAAAAUCCGUUGAUCCAUUGAAGACCACCAGUGGCGAAGGCGGCUUGCCAGAACGCGCUCGACGGUGAGGGAUGAAAGCUGGGGGAGCAAACCGGAUUAGAUACCCGGGUAGUCCCAGCUGUAAACGAUGCAGACUCGGUGAUGAGUUGGCUUCUUGCCAACUCAGUGCCGCAGGGAAGCCGUUAGGUUUGCCGCCUGGGGAGUAAGGUCGCAAGACUGAAACUUAAAGGAAUUGGCGGGGGAGCACAUACUGCUUAGUAACACGUAUAGGAAUUGGCGGGGGAGCACAUACGGCUCAGUAACACGUAUAGGAAUUGGCGGGGGAGCACAUACGGCUCAGUAACACGUAUAGGAAUUGGCGGGGGAGCACAUACUGCUCAGUAACACGUAUAGGAAUUGGCGGGGGAGCAC